This is a long non-coding RNA of Acinonyx jubatus (cheetah), 6705 nucleotides long. RefSeq lists it as uncharacterized. Lineage: Eukaryota; Metazoa; Chordata; Mammalia; Carnivora; Felidae. The record is from RefSeq and is a predicted model, not a curated record. The transcript has 2 exons.
AUAGUUGGGGCGCCUGGGUGGCGCAGUCGGUUAAGCGUCCGACUUCAGCCAGGUCACGAUCUCGCGGUCCGUGAGUUCGAGCCCCGCGUCAGGCUCUGGGCUGAUGGCUCAGAGCCUGGAGCCUGUUUCCGAUUCUGUGUCUCCCUCUCUCUCUGCCCCUCCCCCGUUCAUGCUCUGUCUCUCUCUGUCCCAAAAAUAAAUAAACGUUGAAAAAAAAAAUUAAAAAAAAUAAAAAUAGUUGUUAAGAACAAGUAAAUUAAAAAUGUAAAAAAGAUAAAAUAAUGAACAUAUGUUUAUCUAUUUUUGUCUUAUAAAGAAACUAAAGACAAAUUUGAGUCUGUUAGUAAAUGUGUUUUAUGCUUUAUUGAAAGAUUGUACUGGGGCACGUGGGUGGCAUCCAACUCUUGAUUUCAGAUCAGGUCAUGGUCUCAUGGUUGGGUUCAUGGGAUUGAGCCUUGUGUCGGGCCCUGCAUUGAUAGUCUGGAGCCUGCUUGGCAUUCCCUCUCUCCCUCUGUCUUUCGCCCUCCCCAGCUCACAUGCACACGUGCGCUCUCUCUCUCUCUCUCUCUCUCUCUCUCUCUCUCUAAAUAAUCAACAUGAAAAAAAAAGAUGGUACUAUAAAAACGUUUCUAAAAAUUAUGAAAUGUAUUAAUAAGUUUGUCAAUCUAAAGAAUUCUGCUCACAGUUCACAGUUGCUUAUUACAUAGUUUUCACUAGCUAUUAAGGUUGCUAAGCAUUAAGAAUUCUAAUAAAUGUAAUUAAGACUACUGGAAAAAUAAGGGAAACAACUCUAUGCAAGAAAAGUAAGAUACAUGUUUUUGGUAAGAAAAAGAAUGAGGAAUAAAAAUAUAUAUUUGUUGAGGGGGAAAAAAUAGUUUUGUCCUAAAGUAAGGCUGGCUAUUUUAAAGAGGGAAAAUUUAGGACAAAAUCUAAAUGUAUUUAAAAAAAUUGUUGUAGGUUUAUGGAGAAAGAAUCUUUGGAAAGAAAUGUUAUGUGUGCUCAGUACUGGCUAAGAUUAGGAUAAUUUAAGGGAACCUGGGUGGCUAGUCGGUUAAGCAUCUCUUUUUUUUUUUUAAUCUUUAUUUAUUUUUGAGAGACAGGGCAUGAGCGGGCGAGGGGCAGAUAGAGAGGGAGACACAGAAUCUGAAGCAGGCUCCAGGCUCUGAGCUGUCACCACAGAGCCCAAUGUGGGGCUAAAACCCAUGAAUGACAAAUUCACGACCUGAGUUAAAGUCUGACACUUAAACGACUGUACCACCCAGGCACCCCAAGCAUCUGACUCUUGAUUUUAGCUCAGGAUUCUGUCUGCCCUCCCCAACUACCUCCCCGCUCCAAAAUAAGUAAAUAAACUUAAAAAAAAGAUUAGGAUAAUUUAACUGAGUAAAUGAGUUUUAACAUCAAAAGUACACUGGUACAAAGUUUUGUUUUCUCUUUGUUAUAUGUACAGAGUUUUCUUGAACCACUGGUCUGCUCUUCAUAAAAAAUUGUAAACAAAAGUUUUUCUUUACUAUUUAAGUAUUUUUAUUUUUAGGCAGACAGUGAUUCUACAUUUGCCAAAAUAAUUCCUAUAUUUAUUAGCUCUUUGAUUACUUAGUUUUUUUCUUUAAAUCCUUUCAUAUAUAUAUUAUUUAUUUAUUUAAUGUUUUAUUUAUUUUUGAGAGAUAGAAACAGAGUGUGAGCAGGGGAAGGGCAGAAAGAGAGGGAGACACAGAAUCUGAAGCAGGCUCCAGCCUCCGAGCUGUCAGCACAGAGCCCGACGCAGGACUUGAACUCACGGAGCUGUGAGACCAUGAUCUGAGCCGAAGUUGGAUGCUCAACUGACUGAGCCACCCAGGUGCUCCUGCUCUUUGAUUACUUAAGAACAUUAGCCUUAAUAUUAAAGGAACUAAAUUUUGCUCACAACUCUGUGACCUUUGUCUUUGAAAUCUUUCUUUGUCACUUUGGUUAAAUAGAUAAUUAAAUAUUGUUUCAUAAUGAUCCGUAAUCCCAUUUAAUCAAAUGUUCAAACCUUUUGAUAUUUUUUUAUAUAUACUUCCCAAAAUCAAAUUCUAACAUGGAGUCUAUUAACCACAAUCUAGCUGAAACUUUCCAGCAAGCCCCUGGAACAUUCCAAAAAAAAAUUUUUAUGAGAAAUUAAACUAAUGAGACUUAUUUGGUUUGUUAAAUUACAUGGAAAAUAUUGUCAAAUAUGUGAUAUUAAACUCUCUUUUAUAAUAUUCAUAUAGAUAUGUUAUUAAAAUAAGUUCCAAAAAAUUAUAUGAAACAUCUAGAAAUCUGAUGUCCUGCUUGUGUUAUUAUCUUGAAGUGCUGUAUGUCACAAAAAUAACCAAAUUUCCUUGUCAACUGCAUCGUAAUGAACUCUAAUGAGAUCUUUAGCCAUGGCCAUUUUUAAGUCUUCUAUCAUUUACAGACAGUUAUACUUUCACUAAGAUGCCUUUGUAAGUUUCCUGCAAAUGUGCUUCAUCUUCAGUGAGACUCAUGAAAAAGCAAAACAAAACCUCUGAAUACAGGUUUCUGAUAAUCUUAGAUCAUAAAACUGAACUAGGUAAAAAUUUCCAGAACUAGUAGAAAAACCGGAUUCAAUCAGAACAAGAAUUAAUAACAUGGGGUGGGGGAGGGGCAAAUAAAUUGAGGCAGAUAAUCUUACUUUUUAUGACUUCUUAUUUGAAACAUUGCUGACAUUUUUUAAAGUCUUUUUGUUUUUUCCAGAUUUAAGAAAAAUGUUCAUCUUAAGCUAACUGAUUUACAGCAAUUAGAUAAAAUAUACCUUUGUGGACAAAUGGAAGCAUUUAUCUUUUCUCUCUACCUGAACCCUCCAGAAUUCAGAAACUCUCAUUUUCUGAAGCCCCGGUCAGCGGAGGGGCUCCAGCAGCAAUAGUCAGAUUCCCCAGACUGGAGAAGGGCCUCUGCAUUAGCACCCCUGACAACACCAAAAGCUGCAUGUCUUGGUUAGAUAGCUCUGAUUAGGAUUCUCACUGGAAUACUCCGCCGUUAGUGUGCAUGUGGUAUCCAGGGACCUAAGAGUCUAUCCACCAUGAGCAUUUGUAUGUUACAGUGAAUGCCAAAUUGGGAGAAGAAUCAAAACUAUCUGUUGCUGAUGAAGAAGAAGACAGUGAUGAGGACACUGAACCUAUUGCUGAAUCUAGAUUUGUGCCUCAUGAUAAACCGGGUUGGAGGCAGCGUUCACUGCAAUGUGUGAAUGCCAGGCUUCGUGUCCAGAUCCUGAGGAUGAAGAUUCAGAUGAUUAUGAGGAAGAAUAUAAUGUAGAAGCACAUGAGCAAGGGCAGGGGACAUCCCUACAUUUUAUAUCUAUGAAGGAGGAUUAUCCCAGGAGCACCCGGUGGCUCAGUCAGUUGGGCGUCCGACUUCGGUUCAGGUUAUGAUCUCACAGUUUGUGAGUUCGAGCCCCAAGUCGGGCUCUGUGCUGACAGUUCAGAGCCUGGAGCCUGCUUUGGAUUCUGUGUCUCUCCCUCUCUCUGCUCCUGCUCAUGCUCUGUCUCUCUCUGUCUCUCAAUAAUAAAUAAAUAUGUGUUUAAAAAAAAAAAGAUUAUCCCAUAUAACAGCAGAAGGCCAAGCUACAUUGGAGGGAUUAGAAGGAAGUCUUUCUCAGUCUGUGCAGCCCAUAUAACAUGGCUGGAGCAUGGACAGAAGAUUCAAUAAGAGAUUAUAAAGAUGGGAUGGAGGUAGAUACUACACCAACAGUUGUUGGCCUGUUUGGAGAUGCAAAUACUCAUCACUGAAAAUGAUUUAUGCUGCUUUGGAAUUGUCAUAAAUAUAGAAGAAAACUUGGUGCCUCUUCCGCUGUGGAGUGGAUGUUGAUGAAAGUCUUUUUCCUUCUCUAAAACUUACCUGAACCCGUCCUUUUUUUUUUUUUUUUGAAACAGACCAUACUGAGACAAGUUGUCACCAGCAGAAGAAACUAUGAUCUUUAUUUUAAAAGGUGCAUUAAUUUAACCAAGAGGGUAUUUGUAGAUUUCCAUUUACCACCCCCCCCCCCAAACUUUCUGUAUAUGGGGACCCUCUGUUGAGGCCUGCAGUUCCUGCCUUCACUAUAAGCUUGCAGGUGGAUGUGAUGACAGCACGCAGGUGCUUGAAGGUACAGGAACACUGGAGGAAAAGGGGAGGGGCUGAGUCUAAAUUAAUUCUACCCCUUGACGGGCUAAAAAUACCUAAGACACCCUUUAAAAAGAAAGAGAUCUCCGAGAAAUCCUGGCAUUUGCUCAUUCUCCACAGGGGCAAGUGUCUUUUUACUAACUUGGGACCAAGAUUAAUUCACUCACAUAUCUUUAGGGAGCCUGUUGGGAAACAUCCUAGCCACACAUAUAACUACUAACACAAGUACUUCUGACUAGUUUUACUCCUUCCACCAUGUUUCACCAAUCUGUUCCUUUAUAACCUCUUGGGUUAUAUCCUUGAAUUUCUAAUGUCUUAGGUCAGUUUCUGUAACAGAACAAGUGAAAUCGAGAUGAAGUCCUCAAAGUACUUCAGAUGAUAACUGUUUUUUAUCUUUGUAAUCAUUUAACAAAAAAAAAUUUAGGUUUUCUCCCCCCAAAAAAAAAAUCUAAAUUGGGGAUCUUGUUCAGAAUAAGAGUUAUUACCAGAGAUACAUGUUAUCUGAGUGAUCCAUCUGUGUGGCAAGGCAAACAUCUAAUUUCCAAACCUUUGUUCUUCUUAUUGGCCUGUGAAUUGCCCUCUGCACUUUUGAAUCCCUAGGUCCCUCUCCCAUUCCUUUGCUUAGGGUGGCAUGUACCUCAUUUUACCUUUCUGUCUUUGAAACUCUCAUGUGUGUAGGGUUCCUGUACAUACAAAAUUAAGUUAGAUUUUCUCCAGUUAAUAUGUCUUCUGUCAAUUUCAUUCUUAAACCAGCCAGAAGAACCUUCAAAGGGUGAAGGAAAAAUUUUUCUUGUCAACUGUGUUGGUAAAGGGAGCUCUCUUGCUCAACUACAGACCACAACAGUUAAAACCAGAAAUAGACAAGACCACUUAACUCAUGCUCUAACUGAAACCCAUUGUGUUUAUUUCUCACCACACUUUCUUGAGGCAUUGAAGACGUUUUCCAACCACCACACCAGAAAAGCCCUGAUAGCAAUGGAAUGCCUAGAAGACUAUAUCCAUAAUAAUGGACUGAACACAUACUGAGCCCCACCCAUGAUCACUGAACUCUCUGCCUGACCUCUUGCCUGUCCCCCCACCCCAACCUCUUCUUAUAAUACUCUAGGUGUCCCUCUUGCCCGUAGAGAGGUCAGUUGUUAAGGCUUGAGCCUGUCACAGCUGAUGACACCGAAAAUAAAUUUCUUCCUUUCUCUUUUCCAAACCCUUGUCUCUUGAGUUAGUGGCUGCUCUUGUGAUGAGUGUAUCCAAGUUUUCUGGGCAGCAGUGUUGGCAAACCCAGCAGGGAGCUAUGCUUUCGAUUUGCCCAGCCUUCUGGGGAGUCCCCAGUGGAGCAGUUGGCCCCAGUAGUGUGCUGGGCUUCUCGAGCUUUCCUGAGUUAGAAGCUGUGAUAGCAAAGGGACAGUAGACAUAGCUAUGGUGACAAUGCAGCCAUGGGGCUGUUUUCUCACUAAACAUCGUUUGCCCAUACUAACCCCACAUUUUGAAAGUGUCCGUCUUCCAAACAAAUUUCGUUUAUCAUGUCAUAAACUAUUUACAUUUCCAUGUAUUUCAGUUAAAGAAUGCUAAUGAGAUCUUCUGAUCCGCAGAAAUGUCACUUGGGUCAUAGAUUGUUUCAUUUGAAGGCAAAGACUUUUUUUUUUUUUUUUUUAGUUAAUGAGUACAACCUUAUCAUAAAAGUACAAUUUCUGGAGGCACCUGGGUGGCUCAGUUGGUUAAGCGUCUGACUCUUGAUUUUGGCUUAGGUCAUGAUCUUCGGGUCUGUGGGUUCAAGCUCUGCAUCGGGCUCUGGGCUGACAUCUCAGAGCCUGCUUGGGUUUCUCUGUCUCUGUCUCUGUCUCUGUCUCUCUCUCUCUCUGUGUCUUUCUCAAAAUAAACUAAAAAAAAUUUUUUUAAGUACAAAUUCUGUAGGAAAUACUGAAAAUGGAUGAAAGGCCUUUCUUAGUGCCCUGGAGGACAUGUAAGAAUCCUAGGAUAGCAGGUGGGUAAACUUUGAUCCAGGAUUUGAAAUAAAUAGGAAAUCGAUUUAUUUGGAAAUGAAAAGAGAGAAGAGAUUCUACUCAAACUAUACUUGUUAAAUGACUGAAGAGUGAAAUCUCUGAAAUAUUUGGGAACACGAUCACUCAAGGAGAGAACUACAUGGAGUAGAUUGCAUUUUACAUUUUAUAAGAUAAUGCUUUACAAAGCUGCAGUCUUUUGCACUUAAAGCUACUGCUAAUUGAGCAAUAGAAUACACCUGCGCUAAGGCUUGUUAAAAGGAAACAGAUCCCAAAUGGAGUGAUUUAUGUUAAACUCCACCGAGACUUAAUAUCUAACUUAACUUCAGUUUCUGCCUCUCCAGGGAGUGGAGUUAAAGCAGUCAGUCUGGAAUUUUUUGUUCAGCCAGUGAAGUCAUCUUCGUGAAGAGAUCUCCUGCUUCUCCCCCUAGGGAAGGUGACCUCGCCUGAAACCAUCCUUUCUUUUCUUUUGCUAAUAACUUCCUUGCCCCACCCUCUUUUCUGCAGAACUACUGUAUACAACUCCUCAGACUUUUCUAGGUGGGACGUUGCUUAAUUCAGGAAUCAUUGAAUAAAGCCAAUGUGAUCUUCAAAUGUA